RNAcentral lists this ribosomal RNA (154 nucleotides) under uncultured bacterium. RNAcentral's name for it is "partial 16S ribosomal RNA". It matches the Rfam family "Bacterial small subunit ribosomal RNA", at positions 338 to 508 of the family's 1533-position model. The record is from RNAcentral.
CCUACGGGGGGCAGCAGUGAGGAAUAUUCGGCAAUGGGGGAAACCCUGACCGAGCAACGCCGCGUGGAGGAAGACGGUUUUUGGAUUGUAAACUCCUUUUCGGUGGGAAGAGCGAGGACGGUACCACCGGAAUAAGUCACGGCUAACUACGUGC